GGGGAACGAUAACGGCGUCGAGCGGCGGACGGGUGAGUAAUGCCUAGGAAAUUGCCCUGGUGUGGGGGAUAACCAUUGGAAACGAUGGCUAAUACCGCGUGAUGCCUACGGGCCAUAGAGGGGGACCUUCGGGCCUCUCGCGGCAGGAUAUGCCUAGGUGGGAUUAGCUAGUUGGUGAGGUAAGGGCUCGCCAAGGCGACGAUCCCUAGCUGGUCUGAGAGGAUGAUCAGCCACACUGGAACUGACACACGGUCCAGACUCCUACGGGAGGCAGCAGUGGGGAAUAUUGCACAAUGGGCGCAAGCCUGAUGCAGCCAUGCCGCGUGUGUGAAGAAGGCCUUCGGGUUGUAAAGCACUUUCAGGCGUGAGGAAGGGGGCGUCGUUAAUAGCAGCGUUGUUUGACGUUAGCGACAGAAGAAGCACCGGCUAGCUCCGUGCCAGCAGCCGCGGUAAUACGGAGGGUGCGAGCGUUAAUCG
This 477-nucleotide ribosomal RNA is filed under the name Vibrio alginolyticus. RNAcentral describes it as "bacterial SSU rRNA". It matches the Rfam family "Bacterial small subunit ribosomal RNA", at positions 69 to 547 of the family's 1533-position model. Lineage: Bacteria; Pseudomonadati; Pseudomonadota; Gammaproteobacteria; Vibrionales; Vibrionaceae. The record is from RNAcentral.